AACCGCGGUUAUACGAGAGGCCCCAGUUGAUUAACUAACGGCGUAAGGGGUGGUUAUGGAUAAUAAAAAAUAAAGCCGAAUGGCCCUUUAGCUGUUAUACGCUUUUUAGGCGUCUGAAGCCCAAACACGAAAGUUGCUUUAAUAAAACCUGAACCCACGAAAGCUAAGAGAA
Molecule: ribosomal RNA, 172 nt
Filed under: Opsarius koratensis
Lineage: Eukaryota; Metazoa; Chordata; Actinopteri; Cypriniformes; Danionidae
Description: partial 12S rRNA
Source: RNAcentral